AGGAUGAACGCUGGCGGCGUGCUUAACACAUGCAAGUCGAACGUGAUCCAGCAGCAAUGCUGGUGAAAGUGGCAAACGGGUGAGUAACACGUAGAUACCUGCCUCGCAGUGGGGGGAUAACCACGGGAAACUGUGGCUAAUACCGCAUGGUCUUGAAUAAGCGGGAGCUUGAACAAGUAAAGCUUUAGUGCUGCGAGAGGGGUCUGCGCCCGAUUAGCUAGUUGGUGAGGUAAAGGCUCACCAAGGCUUGGAUCGGUAGCUGGCCUGAGAGGACGAUCAGCCACACGGGAACUGAGACACGGUCCCGACUCCUACGGGGGGCAGCAGUGAGGAAUAUUGGGCAAUGGACGCAAGUCUGACCCAGCAACGCCGCGUGGAGGACGAAGGCUUUCGGUUGUAAACUCCGUUUUAAGUGGGGAAAAGCGAAGGAUGGUAACCCCAGGAAUAAGUCACGGCUAACUACGUGCCAGCAGCCGC
Molecule: ribosomal RNA, 477 nt
Filed under: uncultured soil bacterium
Lineage: Bacteria
Description: bacterial SSU rRNA
Rfam family: Bacterial small subunit ribosomal RNA
Source: RNAcentral